CCUACGGGUGGCUGCAGUAAGGAAUAUUGGUCAAUGGUGGGAACACUGAACCAGCCAUCCCGCGUGCAGGACGAAGGCCCUCUGGGUUGUAAACUGCUUUUACCAGGAAAGAAACGAGUGGACUUGUCCGCUCCUGACGGUACCUGGGGAAUAAGCACCGGCUAACUCCGUGCCAGCAGCCGCGGUAAUACGGAGGGUGCAAGCGUUAUCCGGAAUCACUGGGUUUAAAGGGUGCGUAGGCGGCUUGGUAAGUCAGGGGUGAAAGCUUCCCGCUC
This 275-nucleotide ribosomal RNA is filed under the name uncultured bacterium. RNAcentral's name for it is "partial 16S ribosomal RNA". It matches the Rfam family "Bacterial small subunit ribosomal RNA", at positions 338 to 610 of the family's 1533-position model. The record is from RNAcentral.